GUGAACGCUGGCGGUAGGCCUAACACAUGCAAGUCGAACGGCAGCACAGUAAGAGCUUGCUCUUACGGGUGGCGAGUGGCGGACGGGUGAGGAAUACAUCGGAAUCUACUUUUUCGUGGGGGAUAACGUAGGGAAACUUACGCUAAUACCGCAUACGACCUACGGGUGAAAGCAGGGGAUCUUCGGACCUUGCGCGAUUGAAUGAGCCGAUGUCGGAUUAGCUAGUUGGCGGGGUAAAGGCCCACCAAGGCGACGAUCCGUAGCUGGUCUGAGAGGAUGAUCAGCCACACUGGAACUGAGACACGGUCCAGACUCCUACGGGGGGCAGAAGUGGGGAAUAUUGGACAAUGGGCGCAAGCCUGAUCCAGCCAUACCGCGUGGGUGAAGAAGGCCUUCGGGUUGUAAAGCCCUUUUGUUGGGAAAGAAAAGCAGCAGGUUAAUACCCCGCUGUUCUGACGGUACCCAAAGAAUAAGCACCGGCUAACUUCGUG
RNAcentral lists this ribosomal RNA (491 nucleotides) under uncultured bacterium. RNAcentral's name for it is "partial 16S ribosomal RNA". It matches the Rfam family "Bacterial small subunit ribosomal RNA", at positions 29 to 507 of the family's 1533-position model. The record is from RNAcentral.